GAGCAGUUAGAGCAACUGUACAGGUUUCUUAAUCAGUCACAAUCUCUCCCAAAUCCUUCAUCUUCUAGUUCUUUAGCCCAGAAAGGUAAUAAUUUCACUGCUUUAGGAGUUGUUUAUGAGAAAAAAGAUCCAUGGAUCAUCGAUUCAGGAGCAACCGAUCAUAUGACCAGCCAUUCUAAAUUAUUUUCUUCAUAUAUUCCAUGUUCUGGUAGUCAAAAAAUUAAAAUUGCUGAUGGUUCACUAUCUUCUGUAGCAGGAAAAGGAUCUAUUCCUAUCUCCACAAAUUUGGUGUUAACAUCUGUUCUUCAUGUUCCUAAUUUGUCUUGUAAUCUUUUAUCUGUUAGCAAAAUUACCAAGGAUCUUCAUUGCAUUGCUAAAUUCUCUCCUUCCUAUUGUGAAUUUCAGGACCUGUGUUCGGGGAAGAAGAUUGGCAGUGCUAGAGAGGUAGAUGGUUUGUACUACUUCGAGGAGGAUGUUAGUUUGUGUGGAGAAGCUCAGGCAGCAAAUAAUGAAGUAACUUUCUCUAUUGAAGAUGAAAUAAUGUUGUGGCAUCUCCGAUUAGGUCAUCCUAGUUUUUCUUAUUUACAACAUUUGUUUCCUUUUCCUAUUGUGAAUUUCAGGACCUGUGUUCGGGGAAGAAGAUUGGCAGUGCUAGAGAGGUAGAUGGUUUGUACUACUUCGAGGAGGAUGUUAGUUUGUGUGGAGAAGCUCAGGCAGCAAAUAAUGAACUAACUUUCUCUAUUGAAGAUGAAAUAAUGUUG
RNAcentral lists this long non-coding RNA (761 nucleotides) under Citrus sinensis (sweet orange). RNAcentral describes it as "long non-coding RNA (CSIN_LNC002991)". Lineage: Eukaryota; Viridiplantae; Streptophyta; Magnoliopsida; Sapindales; Rutaceae. The record is from RNAcentral.